RNAcentral lists this ribosomal RNA (468 nucleotides) under uncultured bacterium. RNAcentral describes it as "partial 16S ribosomal RNA". It matches the Rfam family "Bacterial small subunit ribosomal RNA", at positions 28 to 507 of the family's 1533-position model. The record is from RNAcentral.
GACGAACGCUGGCGGCGUGCUUAACACAUGCAAGUCGAACGGAAAGGCCCUGCUUUUGUGGGGUGCUCGAGUGGCGAACGGGUGAGUAACACGUGAGUAACCUGCCCUUGACUUUGGUAUAACUUCAGGAAACUGGGGCUAAUACCGGAUAGGAGCUCCUGCUGCAUGGUGGGGGUUGGAAAGUUUCGGCGGUUGGGGAUGGACUCGCGGCUUAUCAGCUUGUUGGUGGGGUAGUGGCUUACCAAGGCUUUGACGGGUAGCCGGCCUGAGGGGGUGACCGGCCACAUUGGGAAUGAGAUACGGCCCAGACUCCUACGGGGGGCAGCAGUGGGGAAUAUUGCACAAUGGGCGGAAGCCUGAUGCAGCAACGCCGCGUGCGGGAUGACGGCCUUCGGGUUGUAAACCGCUUUCGCCUGUGACGAAGCGUGAGUGACGGUAAUGGGUAAAGAAGCACCGGCUAACUACGUG